GAUGCCGGAUAGGUAGUAGUUGGAACUUUGGGGUUUGCUUCCUCACACAACAUCGCCGUAGGGACCAAGGGGACAUUCUUGAUCAGAAUAGCACCUCCUCCCUUGUUCGAUAGUCCCCUAGAUGCUUUGAUUUGAGAUAACUCAGCCUUGCUGAUUAGAAUCCUGGUAGCUUUUGAAAACAGAGGGAAUGCACGAUCCUUACCAACAUGAAGGGGGAGGCGUCUUGCUGUUAGCGAUGAGCCACAAACAGCCAUGAGAGAGGGUAUAGAAGCAGCAAUGGACGGCAGGCAAAUCACGCAGAUUGGAAGAUACGGCGCUUGACGUAAGGGGCAAAGCAAAGGCUCUCAUUUGAUUAAUGCCCACCGAUCGAGUGGUAGGUGCCAAAUGGUCGUCCGCCGUCUCCAAGUACAACUAAUUUCCAUUCAAGAAGAACAGCGAAAUGUAGUUUUAGGUGAGACUGCGUGACUGUGUAUCUUCGUCUAAGAUGCCUAAACCUUGCAGUGUUGUUCGUUCUUUGUUGCAUGUUCACGUUUCUUGAUGAUGAUCAGCCUGCAAACAAUUUGUUAGGUCAAACUGGAGGUUUAUGUGGGUUUAAUCUUCUUUCUUUCUAAUCAGCUGGCAUAAACUGAUAAGUUGGUAGAGGAACUUAGUAGUCUUAUAACAGGAAGCCAGAUCUGGUAGAAUUUUAGUCUAGGGCUUAGGUUUUGCUUCAGAUAACUGUGGCUUAGUAAGAUGGCAUGAUCAGUGCACCGUGCCAUGCAUGCAUGCAACGAGAUCUAAAAUACUCAUUAGUGACUGCUGCAACAUGCAGCCAGGAAACAACUCGUA
Long non-coding RNA from Musa acuminata AAA Group (dessert banana), 828 nucleotides. RefSeq lists it as uncharacterized. The record is from RefSeq and is a predicted model, not a curated record. Lineage: Eukaryota; Viridiplantae; Streptophyta; Magnoliopsida; Zingiberales; Musaceae. The transcript is spliced from 2 exons.